Molecule: long non-coding RNA, 1415 nt
Organism: Jaculus jaculus (lesser Egyptian jerboa)
Lineage: Eukaryota; Metazoa; Chordata; Mammalia; Rodentia; Dipodidae
Exons: 3
Source: RefSeq, a predicted model, not a curated record
UGGAAACUUUUAUUUUUUUAAUCCCAGGCUAUCCUCCAAUUCACCAUCCUGCCUGCCUCAGCCUCCAUCGUGCUGAGAUGACAAGCGUGCACCACUGCUCCUGGUUCUAAAUAUGUUUUGAAGAUUACAGGCAAUGGUGUGAAAGUAACAGUAUUCUUGUAUACUUGCUGUUGUUCUCUGCCUGCCCUCUUCCCACUUCUAGACCGUGAAGCCACAAAAGUGCAAGAGCAGUGUCACAUAGCAGGUGAUUUGAGGAUUAAAGUUGGAAUGUACUGAAUCUCAGGAUUAUAAUUCUAUUUUAGAGAAACUCUUCUCUUGUUGUUAUGUGUCCAGGCUGCCUUAAACUUUUGGUUUAAGAACCCUCUUCAGUCUGGUCUGAGUAGCAGAACUCCAGGUGUUUCCCCAGUAUCCAGUGUCUUCAGCAACCGGAAUAGGCCUGCAGCUUCUCGUAUCCUGCUGAAUUCAAUACAGAAGGCCUGCACUUCUAUAAACAAGUCCUGCACAUUAAUAAUUUUGUUACGGAUCAAGGACUGGAGAAACACACACACAAGACGCACCAAACGAUUCUGGGGAGGAAAAAAAAAAGUUUUAGUCUGCCUGUUUUCCUGUUGGAUAUUAAUAAAAUUUAUAAACAUUUCUACUAACCUGCAUGUAUUUGUCCUUAAUUUGCUCACAAGUAGAGAUGCAAUUUGAUAUGUAAAGGUGAAUAAAUUCAGGAGGUAGAUCAACAGCUGUAGUUAGUCUGUUUCAUAAAAUAAAAUGUGGGCUGUUAGUUGUAGUUGCUAAUUUAUCACCAAGUAAAAAAUUUCCUGUGGUCAUCUGGUGAAAAUUUCUGAUAAGUAGUACAACUCCCUAGUUUUAAAUAUUCUUUGGCAAAUAAGUCCAAGAGCCAGUGCCACUUCUGUUAAAUCUGUACUUAGUAUCUCACAGUGUAGUUACUCAGUAGGUAAUGGUUUGUUUAAGCAUUAGGUCCCUGAAUCGUUUUGGUUAAGUCAUUGUAAGCCAUAGUCUCCUCCAAGCUCCAACAACCUUGGCAGUUAUUUUCAUCUUAGGAAAUUCCUAUGACAUGUAAGAGCUAUAAAAGCAGUGUUCCUAAGAGGAAGUGUAGAUAGUAUAUAAACAGCACAGCAUACAACCAGGUGUUAAUAACUGUGAGCUUUGGGAAAAGUAACAUGACGCCGAGAAAGAUGUAAAUGACUAAAAUGGAUACUGAGAAAGACUUUCUUGAAAAUGGAGUAAAUAGAUGGCAUGCAUGGUCAAAACUAAGGAACAGCACAGUAACACUGCAGGGAAGACCUAACUGCUAUGUGACAAAAGGAAUGAAGGCUGACAACCAAAGUUGAUAGAUUUGAAAGCCAAGACCAGUAUUUUCCAAAGGAUUAUAUGAAAUGUUUAUGAAUUAGAGUAGGGGAGGG